CUGGCUCAGAACGAACGCUGGCGGCAGGCCUAAAACAUGCAAGUUGAACGGCUAUAGCAAUAUAGCAGUAGCGCAAGGGUGAGUAAUGUAUGGGAACGUAUCUUUUGGUGGGGAAUAUUCUUUGGAAACGAAGAGCGAUACCGCAUAAGCCCUACGGGGGAAAGAUUUAUCGCCGAUUGAGCGGCCCAUAUUGGAUUAGCUAGUUGGUUAGGUAACGGCUGACCAAGGCUGUGAUCCAUAGCUGGUCUGAGAGGACGAUCAGCCACACUGGGACUGAGACACGGCCCAGACUCCUACGGGAGGCAGCAGUUAGGAAUAUUGGACAAUGGGGGCAACCCUGAUCCAAGCCAUGCCGCGUGAGUGUUAAGGCCUUCGGGUUGUAAAGCUCUUUUGUAUGGGAAAAUGAUGAUGGUACCAUAAGAAUAAGCACCGGCUAACUUCGUGCCAGCAGCGGC
RNAcentral lists this ribosomal RNA (455 nucleotides) under uncultured bacterium. Its description in RNAcentral is "bacterial SSU rRNA". It matches the Rfam family "Bacterial small subunit ribosomal RNA", at positions 19 to 518 of the family's 1533-position model. The record is from RNAcentral.